This 253-nucleotide ribosomal RNA is filed under the name uncultured bacterium. Its description in RNAcentral is "partial 16S ribosomal RNA". It matches the Rfam family "Bacterial small subunit ribosomal RNA", at positions 524 to 776 of the family's 1533-position model. The record is from RNAcentral.
UACGUAGGGGGCUAGCGUUGUCCGGAAUUAUUGGGCGUAAAGAGCGCGCAGGCGGUGACUCAAGUCAGAUGUGAAAUAUCCGGGCUUAACCCGGAGGGGUCAUUUGAAACUGAGUAACUAGAGUACAGCAGAGGAUAGCGGAAUUCCCGGUGUAGUGGUGAAAUGCGUAGAUAUCGGGAGGAACACCAGUGGCGAAGGCGGCUAUCUGGGCCAAUAUUGACGCUGAGGUGCGAAAGCGUGGGGAGCAAACAGG